Molecule: ribosomal RNA, 1525 nt
Filed under: Parabacteroides distasonis
Lineage: Bacteria; Pseudomonadati; Bacteroidota; Bacteroidia; Bacteroidales; Tannerellaceae
Description: 16S ribosomal RNA
Rfam family: Bacterial small subunit ribosomal RNA
Source: RNAcentral
ACAACGAAGAGUUUGAUCCUGGCUCAGGAUGAACGCUAGCGACAGGCUUAACACAUGCAAGUCGAGGGGCAGCGGGGGUAGCAAUACCCGCCGGCGACCGGCGCACGGGUGAGUAACGCGUAUGCAACUUACCUAUCAGAGGGGGAUAACCCGGCGAAAGUCGGACUAAUACCGCAUGAAGCAGGGGCCCCGCAUGGGGAUAUUUGCUAAAGAUUCAUCGCUGAUAGAUAGGCAUGCGUUCCAUUAGGCAGUUGGCGGGGUAACGGCCCACCAAACCGACGAUGGAUAGGGGUUCUGAGAGGAAGGUCCCCCACAUUGGUACUGAGACACGGACCAAACUCCUACGGGAGGCAGCAGUGAGGAAUAUUGGUCAAUGGCCGAGAGGCUGAACCAGCCAAGUCGCGUGAGGGAUGAAGGUUCUAUGGAUCGUAAACCUCUUUUAUAAGGGAAUAAAGUGCGGGACGUGUCCCGUUUUGUAUGUACCUUAUGAAUAAGGAUCGGCUAACUCCGUGCCAGCAGCCGCGGUAAUACGGAGGAUCCGAGCGUUAUCCGGAUUUAUUGGGUUUAAAGGGUGCGUAGGCGGCCUUUUAAGUCAGCGGUGAAAGUCUGUGGCUCAACCAUAGAAUUGCCGUUGAAACUGGGGGGCUUGAGUAUGUUUGAGGCAGGCGGAAUGCGUGGUGUAGCGGUGAAAUGCUUAGAUAUCACGCAGAACCCCGAUUGCGAAGGCAGCCUGCCAAGCCAUGACUGACGCUGAUGCACGAAAGCGUGGGGAUCAAACAGGAUUAGAUACCCUGGUAGUCCACGCAGUAAACGAUGAUCACUAGCUGUUUGCGAUACACAGUAAGCGGCACAGCGAAAGCGUUAAGUGAUCCACCUGGGGAGUACGCCGGCAACGGUGAAACUCAAAGGAAUUGACGGGGGCCCGCACAAGCGGAGGAACAUGUGGUUUAAUUCGAUGAUACGCGAGGAACCUUACCCGGGUUUGAACGCAUUCGGACCGAGGUGGAAACACCUUUUCUAGCAAUAGCCGUUUGCGAGGUGCUGCAUGGUUGUCGUCAGCUCGUGCCGUGAGGUGUCGGCUUAAGUGCCAUAACGAGCGCAACCCUUGCCACUAGUUACUAACAGGUGAUGCUGAGGACUCUGGUGGGACUGCCAGCGUAAGCUGCGAGGAAGGCGGGGAUGACGUCAAAUCAGCACGGCCCUUACAUCCGGGGCGACACACGUGUUACAAUGGCGUGGACAAAGGGAUGCCACCUGGCGACAGGGAGCGAAUCCCCAAACCACGUCUCAGUUCGGAUCGGAGUCUGCAACCCGACUCCGUGAAGCUGGAUUCGCUAGUAAUCGCGCAUCAGCCAUGGCGCGGUGAAUACGUUCCCGGGCCUUGUACACACCGCCCGUCAAGCCAUGGGAGCCGGGGGUACCUGAAGUCCGUAACCGAAAGGAUCGGCCUAGGGUAAAACUGGUGACUGGGGCUAAGUCGUAACAAGGUAGCCGUACCGGAAGGUGCGGCUGGAACACCUCCUUU